GAUGAACGCUAGCUACAGGCUUAACACAUGCAAGUCGAGGGGAAACGACAUCGAAAGCUUGCUUUUGAUGGGCGUCGACCGGCGCACGGGUGAGUAACGCGUAUCCAACCUGCCCACCACUUGGGGAUAACCUUGCGAAAGUAAGACUAAUACCCGAUGAUAUCCCUAGAAGACAUCUGAAAGGGAUUAAAGAUUUAUCGGUGAUGGAUGGGGAUGCGUCUGAUUAGCUUGUUGGCGGGGUAACGGCCCACCAAGGCUACGAUCAGUAGGGGUUCUGAGAGGAAGGUCCCCCCACAUUGGAACUGAGACACGGUCCAAAACUCCUACGGGAGGCAGCAGUGAGGAAUAUUGGUCAAUGGGCGAGAGCCUGAACCAGCCAAGUAGCGUGCAGGACGACGGGCCCUAUGGGUUGUAAACUGCUUUUAUAAGGGAAUAAAGUGAGUCUCGUGAGACUUUUUGCAUGUACCUUAUGAAUAAGGACCGGCUAAUUCCGUG
This 495-nucleotide ribosomal RNA is filed under the name uncultured bacterium. RNAcentral describes it as "bacterial SSU rRNA". It matches the Rfam family "Bacterial small subunit ribosomal RNA", at positions 28 to 507 of the family's 1533-position model. The record is from RNAcentral.